This 324-nucleotide unclassified non-coding RNA is filed under the name soil metagenome. RNAcentral's name for it is "partial contains 5.8S ribosomal RNA, internal transcribed spacer 2, and large subunit ribosomal RNA". The stretch from base 1 to 120 matches the Rfam family "5.8S ribosomal RNA", at positions 35 to 154 of the family's 154-position model. The record is from RNAcentral.
GAUGAAGAACUUAGCGAAAUGCGAUAAGUAGUGUGAAUUGCAGAAUUCAGUGAAUCAUCGAAUCUUUGAACGCACAUUGCGCCCCUUGGUAUUCCAUGGGGCAUGCCUGUUCGAGCGUCAUUUGUACCUUCAAGCUUUGCUUGGUGUUGGGUGUUUGUCCCGAGGGACUCGCCUUAAAGUAAUUGGCAGCCAGUGUUUGGUUUUGAAGCGCAGCACAAGUCGCGAUUCAAGGCUACACGCCCGCUUCCACAAGCCUUUUUUCACUUUUGACCUCGGAUCAGGUAGGGAUACCCGCUGAACUUAAGCAUAUCAAUAAGCGGAGGA